This is a non-coding RNA of Providencia rettgeri, 117 nucleotides long. The record is from Rfam. NCBI's taxonomy places the organism in Bacteria, Pseudomonadati, Pseudomonadota, Gammaproteobacteria, Enterobacterales, Morganellaceae.
UUGAGAUGCUAAAUUAGAGAUUGGCUCUCACCACUUACAUUAAUUUUUUUGGAGUUUAUUAUGUCUCUAAGUAAUGAAGCGAAAGCUAAGAUCGUUGCUGAGUUCGGCCGCGGUGAA